GCGUUGCUGUUAGUUUGUGGGUUGGUGCUGACGCUUGCUUGCGCCAACCUACUAACUGACGGGACCGUUG
Molecule: non-coding RNA, 70 nt
Filed under: Ixodes ricinus (castor bean tick)
Lineage: Eukaryota; Metazoa; Arthropoda; Arachnida; Ixodida; Ixodidae
Source: RNAcentral